Molecule: ribosomal RNA, 253 nt
Filed under: uncultured bacterium
Lineage: Bacteria
Description: partial 16S ribosomal RNA
Rfam family: Bacterial small subunit ribosomal RNA
Source: RNAcentral
UACGUAGGGUGCGAGCGUUAAUCGGAAUUACUGGGCGUAAAGCGUGCGCAGGCGGUUUUUUAAGACAGGCGUGAAAUCCCCGGGCUUAACCUGGGAACUGCGCUUGUGACUGGAAGGCUAGAGUACGGCAGAGGGGGGUGGAAUUCCACGUGUAGCAGUGAAAUGCGUAGAGAUGUGGAGGAACACCGAUGGCGAAGGCAGCCCCCUGGGCCGAUACUGACGCUCAUGCACGAAAGCGUGGGGAGCAAACAGG